Molecule: ribosomal RNA, 158 nt
Filed under: Coniothyrium sp.
Lineage: Eukaryota; Fungi; Ascomycota; Dothideomycetes; Pleosporales; Coniothyriaceae
Description: 5.8S ribosomal RNA
Rfam family: 5.8S ribosomal RNA
About the family: 5.8S ribosomal RNA (5.8S rRNA) is a component of the large subunit of the eukaryotic ribosome. It is transcribed by RNA polymerase I as part of the 45S precursor that also contains 18S and 28S rRNA.
Source: RNAcentral
CAACUUUCAACAAUGGAUCUCUUGGCUCUGGCAUCGAUGAAGAACGCAGCGAAAUGCGAUAAGUAGUGUGAAUUGCAGAAUUCAGUGAAUCAUCGAAUCUUUGAACGCACAUUGCGCCCCUCGGUAUUCCGGGGGGCAUGCCUGUUCGAGCGUCAUCU